Humulus lupulus (European hop) is the source of this 187-nucleotide long non-coding RNA. RefSeq lists it as uncharacterized. The record is from RefSeq and is a predicted model, not a curated record. The transcript is spliced from 3 exons. Lineage: Eukaryota; Viridiplantae; Streptophyta; Magnoliopsida; Rosales; Cannabaceae.
GUUCUUGCUCACUCGUCUGAGUUUAAAGCUUUUGAGAUAUCUUGGGGUAGGCUACAGAUGGAUGACAAGAUUUCUUGCACUUGGUUGUUAUGCAUUGUUACUUGUACCAGGCUUUUGUCAAGUUGGUUACAACUAUUUCUUCUCCAGUCAGAUAUGCAGAAGUAUUGUUUAUAGCGAUAAACCAAGG